GUGAACUCAUGGUUCGGUGUAUUUCGGCCCACCAUGGCGCCCAGAAACAAACCAGAAAUGUCAACUAGAUUCUGCACCGCCAGAUAUCCAAGGAAUGGCAGUUUGGUCAUAAAAGCACUGCAACGCCAGCCACCAUUUCUACGCUCCCUCUGCGUAGGUUUGCUCGGCUUCCCCUUUUAAGAAAGGUCCGGGCCCCGCCGUACAUGGAGAAAGAUGCUAAAUACAGGGUGCACGAGCAUGAUGCACAGAAGGCUGUAAACUCGGUCCUGCAAAAUCACAUCUGGGGAUUAAGGGGGAAAUAACUCAGUGUCGAAAUACAGCCUUUCCCACUCUUCUGCCUUCCAGAUGUGUUGGGAUGUGAACAAUGGACGUGCCGGCCAUCAAAGCAUCCAGGGGCGUCAACUCUGUGAGCCCAGGUUCCACCACACCGCCCGCGGUAGCAUCGUCUCAUUUCCGGCAUCUGGAAGACGGAGGCAGAGCUGGUGGACUGAGCUGGCCACGUUGGUAUCGCUUCGUCUUCUGAAAUGGUUAAUCGCUUUGCUGUUAGCCCCCCCCCCCCNNNNNNNNNNNNNNNNNNNNNNNNNNNNNNNUCAUGCUGGGAGGUUGUUCAUUACAAAUAAGCGUGCACAGGCUGACUAAGCAUCUUCUUCAUGUAUGCAGACGGUUCACCAUACAUCCAGUUUGACCCUUGGCCACAGACAUCUAGCAAAACACCCUCUCUUGAUUACGGAUCCAGACCAGCAGCCAGGCUGGAGAGAGCGAAUUCCUAUCAUUUCAACGGCCAACGGAAGCUGGUUUUCACCUUCUGCCUGUCCCAACUUAGAAAGAUCAUUAGCCAUUCUAAUGCCAGCUUGACCUCCGGCAUCCAAGGCGUACAGCGCCUAGCACAAGGGCACCUUCUCUGCUUUGAGUCAACAUGGCCGCAAAGGGUUAGCCGGUCUCCUUCCUCGACACAUCGGGAGGCCGUCCACUUCCUCUGGACAUCCUGCACCGGAUUCAGGAGUCGGCGGGAAAUCAGGGGAAACGGGACCCUCUCCAGAUUCACCCAGAACACUUCCGGCUCCAUCCUCCAGGCCUGGGAGGGCAGGAAACAGGUGCGAAACGCUUUGCUCCUGGCCCGUAAGCCGCUGCCCACCCACCCCUCCCGGACCCCAGUGUGAGUCAUGCCAUGGCAAAACGCCAUGCGGGAACCUGGGGAAACUAAUCCCUCUCACCCGGCACUGGGCCGAUCCUUCCGCCCAUCUCGCCGGCUCCAAAUAGGGAAUGACGAAUGAAUGGCCCGCCGUGUCUUAAGAGGAAACCGCUGUGAUCUCAGAAGGAA
Molecule: long non-coding RNA, 1321 nt
Filed under: Pogona vitticeps (central bearded dragon)
Lineage: Eukaryota; Metazoa; Chordata; Lepidosauria; Squamata; Agamidae
Description: lncRNA (ENSPVIG00000009337.1)
Source: RNAcentral